Molecule: ribosomal RNA, 264 nt
Filed under: Escherichia coli
Lineage: Bacteria; Pseudomonadati; Pseudomonadota; Gammaproteobacteria; Enterobacterales; Enterobacteriaceae
Description: partial 16S ribosomal RNA
Rfam family: Bacterial small subunit ribosomal RNA
Source: RNAcentral
AAAUUGAAGAGUUUGAUCAUGGCUCAGAUUGAACGCUGGCGGCAGGCCUAACACAUGCAAGUCGAACGGUAACAGGAAGCAGCUUGCUGCUUUGCUGACGAGUGGCGGACGGGUGAGUAAUGUCUGGGAAACUGCCUGAUGGAGGGGGAUAACUACUGGAAACGGUAGCUAAUACCGCAUAACGUCGCAAGACCAAAGAGGGGGACCUUAGGGCCUCUUGCCAUCGGAUGUGCCCAGAUGGGAUUAGCUAGUAGGUGGGGUAAA